GCACUGCUGACGUGUCCCAAGCAGGACGAAACAGCUGUCCAGUGC
This 45-nucleotide non-coding RNA is filed under the name Echinostoma caproni. Lineage: Eukaryota; Metazoa; Platyhelminthes; Trematoda; Plagiorchiida; Echinostomatidae. The record is from RNAcentral.